GUGCUUGCUUCCGCAGCACGUGUACUAAAAUUGGAAGGAUACAGAGAAGAUGAGCAUGGCCAGGGGAUGACAUGCAAAUUCGUCCCAUAUUUUG
RNAcentral lists this small nuclear RNA (94 nucleotides) under Physeter macrocephalus (sperm whale). The record is from RNAcentral. Lineage: Eukaryota; Metazoa; Chordata; Mammalia; Artiodactyla; Physeteridae.